GAUGAACGCUGGCGGCGUGCUUAACACAUGCAAGUCGAACGAUGAAGCCCAGCUUGCUGGGUGGAUUAGUGGCGAACGGGUGAGUAACACGUGAGUAACCUGCCCUUAACUCUGGGAUAAGCCUGGGAAACUGGGUCUAAUACCGGAUAGGAGCGUCCACCGCAUGGUGGGUGUUGGAAAGAUUUAUCGGUUUUGGAUGGACUCGCGGCCUAUCAGCUUGUUGGUGAGGUAAUGGCUCACCAAGGCGACGACGGGUAGCCGGCCUGAGAGGGUGACCGGCCACACUGGGACUGAGACACGGCCCAGACUCCUACGGGAGGCAGCAGUCGGGAAUAUUGCACAAUGGGCGCAAGCCUGAUGCAGCGACGCCGCGUGAGGGAUGACGGCCUUCGGGUUGUAAACCUCUUUCAGUAGGGAAGAAGCGAAAGUGACGGUACCUGCAGAAGAAGCACCGGCUAACUACGUG
This 466-nucleotide ribosomal RNA is filed under the name uncultured bacterium. RNAcentral's name for it is "partial 16S ribosomal RNA". It matches the Rfam family "Bacterial small subunit ribosomal RNA", at positions 28 to 507 of the family's 1533-position model. The record is from RNAcentral.